This is a long non-coding RNA of Cyprinus carpio (common carp), 934 nucleotides long. The record is from Ensembl. Lineage: Eukaryota; Metazoa; Chordata; Actinopteri; Cypriniformes; Cyprinidae.
UCUCUUUUUCUUCUCUUUUUAUAGUUUCUCUCCAUCCCUUUGUAGUGAACUCAUGCUGCAUUUUCUGUGAAAUCAGUCAGUCAGAUUGGAUCUUGUUGUUCUCUAUAGGCUCCUGUGGGCGUCAGACUAAUUAUGAACCUUCCUCCAGUUGCAUUCUGGGUAACCGUCAGCUUGUGUCAUUGCAGGUUGAGAUGUCAGUCACCUUUAACUGUGAACGGCCCUCAGUGACGGUGACACCAGCACUUACUGGAUUGAGACACGUUCAUCUGUUACCAUGGUUCUCCGUGUGAUUGACAGCGGAGCGGAGCUGAUGGAGAGAGUCUCAGGAAGCCGAGCAGCGCUGAACUUUACACAAAUGAGAGGAGAGCGGGACGUGACGUCUGCCAAAAUCUGCUGAUGCUGCAGCACAAACCCUGCAGAUAAGUUUCUAUCCGUCUGAGAGUUAUAAACAGAGUUUCUGCUGUUUGACCUGCGAGGAACUGAAUCAUAUGCAGCUUUAAUCUGCGUUUUACAUUCACUCCACAGAUUGCGUCCCGAGGCAACUAGGAAUUACACAAGCUUCAGUCUGCAACAUUUAAUCGCAACAUAUAAUCACUGCAGUUAAUAGAGUUCACCGUCAACUAACUGCAUGUUUCUUACUGUACAUUUCUGUCAUAGUCACCACCAAAAACAUAUAAUCGUAUUUGCACACCUCAUAUUUUAACAUCUUUGAAAUGCUAUUAUAGUUUUUGUUCAUAUUUUGAAUCAGGGUUUUUAUAGUUUAACUAAAACUCAAACCAUAAAAAACAUUUACGUUACUUUUUUAUUUUUGUAUUUAUUUUAGCUAGUGGUCAAGGCGACAUUUCUCAUGUUUGUUUAGUUUAGCUGCAUGUACUAAAAUAACUAACACUAAAACUGAAAUAAAAACUAUAUAGACAAAAAAAAUGUAAAUAAA